This 20484-nucleotide long non-coding RNA is filed under the name Gossypium barbadense (sea-island cotton). Its description in RNAcentral is "long non-coding RNA (GBAR_LNC010149)". The record is from RNAcentral. Lineage: Eukaryota; Viridiplantae; Streptophyta; Magnoliopsida; Malvales; Malvaceae.
GCAAAUUGAAGGCUGUGCGCAACGGGAAGGACUUGUUGCAUAAAUAUACCAUUUUAGGCGCAAAAGGCUCCCCCCACCCUUCUUACACGGUACUGUUUUGCUUAAUAUUUGAAACUAAAAGCCAUUGAAUGGCAGCUUACUAUUCCCCUUUUUUUUCGCCAUAAGCAGCAGACCCAAUUCUUAGGGUUUCAACACAACAAAUUUUGGGGUUUUCCCAUCCCCCUAUUUGAUCAUUCGACUGCCCCAUUCCACCAUUGAAAUUGAUGGAUGGUGGCUCCCCAUGGAGUCGUUUCAUUCUCCUACUCUAAGCCUCACCUCGAAAGGUAAGAUUUUUAGCCCGAAAACCCAUCUCAAGCUUUGAUUUCGACGAAGAAUAGAUGGUCCCCGAUGGCUCGUUUGAAGGUAUGCUUCCUUUUUUAUUAUUUUAUGCAGAAAACAUAUGAAACACGAAAGGAAGAUGAAACAGAUGCAAAAAAAAGAAGAAACACAAGGCGCUCGAAAAAAAAAUCACCUUCUAGUUCUAUUCUGAUUUCUCUCUAUUGCGGAUUGCAUAAAUGUCUGUUUUUUUGUGUAACCGAUUAUAAGGAUUAAAAUUUUUGCUUUAUAGCCAGAGAAAAAAAGAAAAUCAAAAUAAAAAAUACAAUAUUUCUCUUUUGUUUGCAUUCGCUGCUGUUCUGCCUCGUUUGUUUGCAGGUACGGAGGUAUGGAGCCAGCUGUGGGGAUAUGUGGCACUCAACGUGGGGUGUACGGAGGCGUUGAAGGCGGUCGUACGGCGCGAGGGCUAAGGCUCGUCUGCGGUUGAGGCGCAAAUGUGAGGAGGAAACCCUAGGGUUUCUUUGUUUAGGCAUUUAGGCUUAUUGGGCCUAUUUUUGGGUCAGGUCUAGGUUUAGUCAUUGGGCUUGUGACUUGGGUCUUGGGUUUUAAUUUUGGGUUUAGGGUCAUGUAUUAAUUUUAGGUUUUGGACUGUAAAAAGGACUUUUAAUUAAUGGUCUGUUUCAUUUAUUGUAUUUUUUUGUGUUUUGGUUUCUUCUUCGGGCCCGGGCAAAUUGGCCUAUUUACAACUGACCCUCUUUGCUCAUUGUUGUGUAAUGAGAAUAGAGCAAAGACUUCAAAAAAGGCCAAUUUUGUCCGGUUUUACGAAACCAUGAUUUCUUUGGUGCUUCUUUUCUUCAGGUAACUUCGAUAUGCUCCACUGCAGCUUUAGGGAGACCCGGUUCAUGUGUUUUUAUCCUGCUCUACUGCAACUUCAGAGAGAUAAGGAUUGUGAAUUCGAUCUACUCCACUACAACUUCAGAGAGACAAGAUCUUGCAAUCUCUGGCCUGUUGCCCUACUACUUAGGGGGUUAAGGCUCGUUCUCUUCGAUCUGCUCUACUGGAGACGAGAUCUGCAAUCUUCAGCCUACUCCACUACAAUUUUUAGGGAGCCAGGUCGGUGGCGUAAACCUGCUUCACUGCAACAUCAGGAAGCCUAGAUUUACCGUCUUUGAUCUGUUCCACUGCAAUCUCAGGGAAACAAGAUCUACAAUCUUCAGCCUACUCCACUACAACUUUAGGGAGUUAGGUUGGUGGCUUAAAUCUGCCUCACUGCAAUCUCAGGAAGCCUAGAUUCACCGUCUUCGAUCUGCUCCACUGUAACUUUAGGGAAAUGAGAUCUAAAAUUUCAACCUACUCCACUACCACUUUAGGGAGCUAGGGUGAUGGCUCAAAUCUGCUUCACUGCAAACUCAGGAAGCUUAGAUUCACCGUCUCCGAUCUGCUCCACUGCAACUUUAGGGAAUCAAGAUCUAAAAUUUCAACCUACUCCACUACAACUUUAGGGAGCUAGGUUGGUGGCUCAAAUCUGCUUCACUGCAAUCUCAGAAAGCCUAGAUUCACCGUCUUCGAUCUGCUCCACUGCAACUUCAGGGAAACGAGAUCUAAAAUUUCAACCUACUCCACUACAAUUUUAGGGAGCUAGGGUGAUGGCUCAAAUCUGCUUCACUGCAAACUCAGGAAGCCUAGAUUCACCGUCUUCGAUCUGCUCCACUGUAACUUCAGGGAAACGAGAUCUAAAAUUUCAACCUACUCCACUACAACUUUAGGGAGCUAGGUUGGUGGCUCCCAUCUGCUUUACUACAACUUCAGGAAGUUAAGAUUUACCGUCUUCGAUUUGCUUCACUGUAACUUCAGGGAAACAAGAUCUGUAGAAUUUACCAAUAUUGCUACACCGUCUUCUAAAGACAUGAUUUGUAGAAUUGGUUUCCUAUAUCUGUGUAUGCCAAAUAAUUAGGGUGCCAUGAUCAAAAUGAAUCUAAUGCCCCUGACUAUACGUGGUGUUUAUGUCAAGUAAUUAAAAUGCUAUGAUCGAAAUGAAUCAAGUGCUCCUAACUAAAUGAAUGAUUAUGAAUGUAGAAAUGUUAUGAGAGUGAUUCCUUUUUAAACGCUUAAGGUAUCAUUGCUCAUAAUUCAUCUGGGUUCCAUCAUUGAUGUUCUAUCGCGUCUUCUUGCUUAGCCGUUAUCUCUGACAGAAAAUUUGAAGAAAUAGUCAUAAUUUGGACUACUCUUUUCUCAAUGUUUUCCAACUUUGAACCUGGUUAGUCCUGACUAGUGGCCUUGUUUCAGGUCUUUGUACUAUUUAGAGACUUUCCAGAGUAAUAUGCAUAACUUUUUUUAUGUGAAUAUUAUAAGUCCAAAAAUCAUGAUUUCAACAAAGAUGCUCGAAAGAGAUUAUCAUAAUGGACAAAUGGAAUUUUAUUAAGCAAAAUUUGAUGUGAAUACAUAGGAUAAUGAAUCUUGAUAAGGUGAAAAAUAGAAUGAGAAAAAGGUGCCCCCAGAUAUCGCAGCACGAGCUUCACUAUUCUAAUUCCUCAAAGGCUCUUUCGAACCAAAUGUGUGUUCAGGAGAUCCCUCGUAUUUUUUUGAUGCUCCAAGGUGUAAUGUUCUCCUGUCUUGCUGAUUUCGGGAGGACAAGACUACCACAUGACCUAUAUUUAAAAUUUGAGCCGCCCGUUUUCGCGUUUUCAACUCAAAAACCCCUUUGGUCUCAAAGUGCCCUUUGCGGGUUUUCACCUUGGCCUCUCCUUUUUUUUUUGAAUGCCCUUUGUGGGUUUUCACUUUGGCCCCCUCUUCUUUAGGUAAAAUACUUCUUAACUGAAUCUGAAUUUACAGGAUUGGGCAAGUUUCUACCAUCCAUCUCGGCUAGAAUCAAUGCUCCUCCGGAAAAAGCUUUCUUCACCACGUAAGGCCCCUCCCAAUUAGGCAUCCAUUUUCCUCGAAAAUCUUUCUGUAUGGGAAGGAUAUUUUUCAAAACCAAGUCUCCAUCAUGGAAUUCUCUAGGGUGAACCUUUUUGUCAUAAGCCCGCAUAAUUCGUUUUUGGUACAUCUGACCAUGACGGAUAGCUCUUAGUCUCUUUUCCUCAAUCAAGUUCAAUUGAUCGUAUCGAGACUGGAUCCAUUCUGCUUCAUCCAAAUUUAACUCCGACAACACUCGAAGAGACGAGAUCUCGACUUUGAUUGGCAACACUACCUCUAUUCCGUAGACUAAAGAGAAAGUCGUUGCUCCAGUUGAGGUUAUGACUGAUAUUCGAUAAGCAAAUAGGGCAAACGAUAACUUCUCAUGCCAAUCUCUGUAAGUCUUGGUCAUCUUCCCCACAAUCUUCUUAAUAUUUUUAUUGGCUGCUUCCACUGCCCCAUUCAUCUUCGGGCGAUAUGGCGACGAGUUGUGGUGUCUGAUCUUGAAUUGACUGCAGACUUCUGCUAUCGUACUAUUGUUCAGGUUUAAUGCAUUGUCAGGUUUGAUCCUCUCUGGCAUUCCAUACCGAUAUAUGAUCUCCUUCUUUAGAAAUUUACUCACUGCCGACUUUGUAACACUAGCAUACGAAGCAGCCUCUACCCAUUUGGUGAAGUAGUCGAUAACCACAAAGAUGAACUGAUGCCCAUUGGAAGCUUUCGGGGAUAUUGGUCCAAUCACAUCCAUGCCCCACAUAGAGAAUGGCCAUGGGGAAACUAUGACAUGCAGCGGUGAAGGAGGCAUAUAAAUUUUGUCUCCGUAGAUUUGGCACUUAUGGCAUCUCUUGGCGUAAUUGACACAGUCUCCUUCCAUGGUGGACCAAUAGUACCCGAAUAUCAUAAUUUACUUGGCCAUUGUAAAACCAUUAGCGUGUGUCCCACAGACGUCUUCAUGGACUUCUUUCAAGAUUUUCUUAGCUUCUACAGCGUCUACGCAUCUUAAUAGCAUUUGAUCCUUUCUCCUUUUGUAUAGGAUCUCCCCAUCUAAGAUGUAGUCGAUGUCCAAUCUUCUCAGCAUUCUUUUGUCAUUCUUGCUUGCUUGGUCCGGGUAUUUACAAUUCUUCACGUAUUGCAAUAUAUCGUGAUACCAAGGGUGAUCUUCUUUUUCUUCGCCUUCUCCAAUAUUAUAACAGUGGGCUGGAGUUUCAUAAAUGCUCAUCCGGAUGGGUUUGACAUCUUCUUGUUUGUUCACCUUGAUCAUAGAAGCUAAGGUAGCCAAAGCAUCAGUCAUCUAAUUUUCGUCUCGUGGAAGGUAGUGGAAGGUAAUGUCCUCAAACUUUUUAACCAAUUCCAGGACUAGUUUUUGAUAAUCGAUCAACAUGGGGUCUCCGGUCUCCCAUUCUCCCUUGAGUUGAUAAAUCACUAGCGCAGAAUCCCCAUACACCUCUAGCAUUUUAAUCUUGCGUUCUAUGGCUGCACAGAUUCCCAUGAUGCACGCUUCGUAUUCUGCUAUGUUACAAUUGAAAUCUAAUUUACUGAUGAAUGUAUAAUGAUCUCUAUUUGGGGACACCAAGACUGCCCCAAUUCCAUUACCCACAGCAUUUGACGCCCCAUCGAAGUUCAAUUUCCAAUGAAGUUUUUCUGGAUCACCUUUUCCAGCGGUCGCAACAACGUUAGGUCUUCAUUCGGAAAGUUGAAGUUCAGAGGCUCGAAGUCUUCCAAAGCUCUACUGGCCAAAAAAUCUGCUAUUGCACUUCCUUUUACUGCUUUCUGGUUCACAUAGACUAUGUCAAAUUCAGAAAGUAGAAUAUGCCAUCGGGCCAUCCUUCUAUUCAAAGCUGUUGACUCUAUCAUAUACUUUAAAGGGUCCAAUUUUGAGAUGAGCCAAGUGGUGUGAUACAACAUAUACUGCCUCAACCUUCGGGUUGUCCAAAUUAGGGCACAACACAACUUCUCUAUCGGCGAGUACCUUAUUUUGCAUUCCGUGAACUUUUUACUAAGAUAGUAAAUAGCUUUUUCCUUCUUUCCCGACUCAUCGUGCUGACCUAGUACGCAUCUCAUAGAAUUCUCAAAUACUGCCAGAUACAGUAUCAAUGGAUUAUCGGGGUUAGGUGGCAUUAGCACUGGAGCGUUGGAUAAGUACUGUUUGACCUUGUCAAAAGCCCUUUGGCAUUUUUUAUCCCAUUCACCUUGGUUGUGUUUCUUGAUGAGGCGAAAGACAGGGUCACGUUUCUCGGUUAAUUGCGAAAUAAACCGAGCGAUGUAAUUUAAUUUUCCUAAAAAGCCUCGAACCUCUUUCUGAGUACGCGGCGAAAAUAACUCUUGUAUGGCUUUGACUUUGUCUAGAUCGAUCUUGAUCCCUUUUUCACUGACCACGAAUCCGAGAAGCUUUCCAGACUUGGCUCUGAAGGUACAUUUUACCGGGUUGAGUUUUAGCUGAAAUUUCCUCAGUCUCAAGAAUAAUUUUCUCAGGACUUGUAUGUGCUCCUUCUCUGUUCGAGACUUAGCGAUCAUAUCAUCGACAUAAACCUCAAUCUCUUUAUGUAUCAUGUCAUGGAACAGGGUUACCAUGGCUCUUUGAUAAGUUACCCCCACAUUCUUCAGUCCAAACGGCAUCACUUUGUAGCAGAACGUGCCUCACAUGGUUACAAAUAUGGUCUUCUCCAUGUCUUCAGGAUGCAUCUUGAUCUGGUUAUAUCCGGAGAAACCGUCCAUGAAUGAAAACAGUGAGUGUCCCGCCGUGUUGUCCACUAGGGUGUCGAUAUGAGGUAGUGGGAAAUUGUCCUUCGGACUGGCCUUGUUCAAAUCUCUGUAGUCCACACACAUUCGUACUUUUCUAUCUUUCUUAGGGACAGGGACGAUGUUGGCUACCCAAUUUGAGUAUUUUACCACCUUUAGGAAUCCAGCGUCGAACUGCUAUCGGACAUUUUCUUUUAUUUUUAGUAAGACGUCAGGCCUUAUUCUUCGGAGUUUUUGCUGAAUUGGCUUACAUUCUUCUUUUAUAGGGAGUUGGUGUACCACGAUGUCAGUGUCCAACCUAGGGAUAUCUUGGUAUGACCAUGCGAAGACAUAUUUGAAUUCUUGAAGUAAUUCAAUGAGGUCUCGCUUCAUCUCCGUAGUGACACAUGUUCCAAUCUUCACCUCUUGUCCUUCUCUCAAGCUCACAAUUUCAACUGAUUCUUUGUGAGGUAGGAUUUGUUUCUCGUCUUGUUCUACCAUUCUCAACAAAUCAGGAGAUAGGUUACAGCCUUGGUCAUCUUCGAAAUCCUAGGAAUCAUCCAUACACACAUCUCGCUCAAAAGAAAAUUCUGAGUCACUAGCAGUGUCACUCGUAUCAUUGAUAUCUGGGGACCUGUUAUGAGGAUGAGGACAGAUACAAAGAAUCAAAAGAAUUCGAAACAUUUAUUUGCGUGGUAUGAUUAUGAAUGACGAAUGAAAGAAUAUUUCAAGAAUAAAAGAAUCCAAAAGUAAUCAUUUGUAUGGUUAUAGAUGAAAUUGAAAGGAUGGGAGAACAUUUGCUCAAAAAUGAUAAUAACCGUGCAUUUUAUUGAAAUAACAUUUUUAAACAUCGGCCUAUUUCACAAAAGAUUCUUAUUACUCCUAGGCCUAAAGCAAUAAGUGUGUUUUGGAUAUUACUCUGAAUCCGUUCUAAAAACUACAGGAAUCUCUUCCGCAGUCCAGUUGUCCAGAACACUUUCAGGUGUGUAACGGCAAAUGCCCGAUAAAUUUUCUCUUCUAGUCUCCUCUUCGUACAUGACGUUGAUGUCCAAGCUUUCCAACCUUUCUUCUAUAGCUCCCGUCAUUGGCAUGUCUCUCUCGGGAUGAAUGAUUCCCUCGGACACAAAUAUUUUCAAUAUAUGGAGAAAUAUCAUUGGUUCCCACUUGAUUUCCUCUCCCGUUAACCGUGCUCUCCUUCUUUCUUGCUUCUUUUCUAGCUCCCUCCUCUUUUGUUUCACAUCCGGCUUAAAUCCUAAGCCGAAGCGGUCUCUCUUGUCUUUCAGCAUUGGCGUUUCAACCCUUCCUUGCAGAUGUCUCCCAAGUCCUCUUCCGGGUAGGGCCCCUUUUCCAAUCGUCAACUAGAGGCUCAUCCUUGUGGUUUUGGACAAUUUUGGCAUCAGAAUCUUACUUCCCUCGGUGAUGAAGGUCACGUUAACAAAUUCCAAAGAUCGAAAUGAACAUUCGAUUGCUUCGUCAUCUGUCUCCAAAUAGGGCGCAUUAUUGCUCACAGUUGCAAUGAUAUCCUCCUCAGCCUUGAUCGUUAACAACCUCUCCUCCGAUACUAGCUUCAAUUUUGAUGCAAUGAGGAAGGCACUGCCCCAGCUGAAUGUAUCCAGGGCCUCCCCAACAAGCAAUUGUAUGAGGGCUUGAUAUUCAUUACGAGGAAAUCCACCUCAUACGUGUUUGGCCCAAUCUGAAGAGGUACAUCGAUUCUGCCCAUCACCUUCCUCUCUGUGCCAUCAAAUGCUUUCACGAUGUUCUGGCACUCCUUCAUGAGAGAGCUGUCUAUAGGUAACCUAUUCAACGUGGUCAAUGACAGGACGUUCAAAGCUGACCCAUUGUCAAUCAGCACGCCUAGCAGCGUAUACCCUUUACAGCGCGUGGUGAUAUGCAAAGCUUGAGUCGACCCCAUGCCCCCAGGUGGUAUCUCAUCGUCAUUGAAAAAGAUAUAGUUGUCGGAACUGAUGCUGCUAACCAAGCGGUCCAACUUGUUAAUGGAGAUAUCAUUGGCAACGUACGUUUCAUUCAAGACCUUCAUUAGCGCGCUGCGAUGAACUUUCGAGCUUAGAAGUAAGGCCAGCAUCGAGAUACGGACUGGUUGUUUACGUAGCUGUUCCACCACACUGUAUUCGCUAUGCUUUAGGAAUUUUAAAAACUCCUUGGCCUCCUCUUCGUUAACUGGCUCGUUAACAGGUUUGGUUGCUUUUCCCUUCAUUUCCUCGACCACCUGGGCUUUUCCUUUUGUGGGCUGUGCCUCCUCAUUUGCUGUAUCGUAACGUCUCUCGCUACGUGUAUAGGAGCCCCCAUCUUGGUCCCCUCUUGAAGCGUCAACCGGACUCUCCUUUCCCGGUAUCGUCACACUGUACUCAUAAUUCCAUGGGACCUUUUUACUGUCUUUGUAGGGGAAGACUGCAGGUCUUUGGAUUAUGACCCUCGGUGGCACUUGUACUCUAGCCUCAUUAUUUUUCGGUCUCGAAAUGAUUACCACUGGAUAGUUAUAUGUUCGAUUCUGUGCCGUCGAUUCUCCCUCCGAUGCGCAUAUAUCACAUUCUAUGAGGGUUUUGACUUCUUCAUAAAAUUUAAUUUCCUUAUUGUUCAUUAUAUUUUGCACUAAGGCUUUGAACUCCAUGUAAUCUUGGAUUUUAUGCCCCACCUCAUCGUGAAACUCACAGUAGUUUCUCUCUUGUUCGAUUUCUUCCCUCGAAUCCAACACGAUCAAUCCUCUUUUGGCCAUCUCCUUCCAUACCCGCCUCAACGGGGUCCUGACUUCUGCCAUCUCAUACUUGGUCUUCUUGUUCCUACCUUCACUUAUCCCAUUCACUCCUUGGUCGGCAUGAUUGGGGAGUGGGUUUCCUACUACAUUGGGUGUGGUUGGGUCAUCAAAUCUCACGAUCCCCACCUUAAUGAGUCUCUCGACUACUUUCUUGAAUACCAUGCAAUUUUUGAUCGAGUGCCCGGUAAUUCCCGCAUGGUAUUCACAUUGGGCGUUUGUGUCAUACCAUUUGGGAUACGGGGGCUACAGUGGCUCCAGGUAGAAAUGGGACACCACAUGAGCGUUGAACAGGUUCUGGUACAACUCCCUAUAUGUCAUGGGUAUAGGGGUGAAUUGUGGCCCUUCUGUGUUCUCCCUUGCAUUGGAUUCUUAUCUUACAGAGCUUUGUUGAUUGGUGGUCACCGUCUUGGGUUGAUUUACGGUAAAUGACUUGGAUUGCCCCUUGUUGAAUGUGCUCAUGUAGUUCACUUCAUUAUCUCUUUUUCUCGGGGCCGACUUCCUGGCACUCUCCCCCGACUCUAUCUUAUCGCUUCUCACAGCAUUUUCAAUCAUUUCCCCCGUAAUCACUAUGUCGGAGAAGCUCUUGGUGGCGCUUCCCAACAUAUGAGUGAUAAAAGGGGCCUUCAAGAUGUUUAUAAAGAGCAUCGCCGUCUCCUUUUCUAGAAGUGGCGGCUGAACUUGUAUGGCCACCUUUCUCCAUCUUUGUGCGUACUGUCUGAAGCUUUCAUUCGAUUUCUUCUCUAUAUUCUAGAGAGUGAUUCUGUCAGAGGUCAUGUCUGUCACAUGAUUGUAUUGCUUCAUAAAGGCCUGAUCCAGGUCCUUCCACGAAUUAAUUUUAGAGCGGCUUAAUUGGUUGUACCACUUAGACGCCGCCUCGACCAGACUAUCUUGAAAGUAGUGGAUUAAUAGUUGGUCAUUGUUAAUGUACCCCGUCAUUCGCCUGUAGAAUAUAGUGAUGUGGGCUUCAGGGCAACUUGUUCCAUUGUAUUUCUCGAAUUCGGGCAUUUUGAAUUUAGGGGGAAGGACUAAAUCUGGGACUAGACUCAGGUCUUUGGCAUCAAUCCCUUGAUGAUGAUUCGCGCUUUCCAUGGCUUUGAAUUUCUGCUCGAGCCAUCUACACCAUUCUUCCAAUUGUUUUUUUGAAUCUAUCCUCGCAUUUUCUUCAUAGGCAACUUCGUCCAAAUCGGGAACGGGCGGAUAGUUCGGGUUGUUGACAAACUUCGACCGGUUUGAAAAUUCAUCGGUAUUGAAGCUCCAGCCUGAACUUGUUGGGGCAUGAUCGUGAUAGAUGGUUUCAGUAGAUUAAUCUCGGGCUUCAUCGGUACAUGUGUCGGAGUGAAGCUAGGGGGUAUUGAGGAUCUUCAUUAGUUUCUUCAAUUUUGUCUAUGGGGCCCUUUCCCUUAUCCGUUCCUCCCAACAGCAAUUGGGAUAACUGACUCAUCAUUUCCCUCUGGGACUCCAUCAUUUGCUCUUUCAUCUCUCGCUGAAUCUUGGCUAGCUGCUCUUGCAUCUGGGACUGCAUUUGUUCUUGCAUAUCUUUUUGCAUCUGCUCCAAUUUCUUGAGUCUCUUAUCCAGUGAUUUUUUUCUUGUACCGUAGGGGUGUGUGGUUGGUUGGUUUUUGUUGGUUUCUAGGUUACUGAAAUAAUUUUUAAUUAAUUAAUUAGAAAACUCUUAUGGCCUUUAAUACACAAUGAUAUGAUGUAAUGCAAAUGCAUGAAUGCAAAGGAGGCAUCAAUUUUUCUAAGCAACAAGGCCAGCUCUUGUCCGUGAUCCGACUCCAACUCAUACUUCACGCUCAGUGUGUCCGCCUGAACCGCUAAAGUUUGCAAGUAGUCCGCUACCUCCCGAAUCUAGGUUAUGGCUUCCCCCAUAAGGUAAUCUCUGUUUCUGACUUGGUCUUGCGCAUGGUGAAGCUGCUCUUUCCAACGAUCCUCGUUUGCCUCGAAAAACUGGAUCCGCAUCUUACAGUUUUGCAGUGAUGCCUCUAACUCUUCUAUUCUUCCUUUCAUUUCUUUUAUCUUGCUCAAGCUUGCCCUCAACUCUAUUGCGGUGUUACGGUUUCGGUACUGAUGCAGAGACUUCUCGAGUUCUGCCACUCUAGCCCUUAAUUCACUUCGCUCAUUUCUACUCUCCGAUAGACUCUUCUCCAAAUCUUCGUUUCGUUCCUGAGCUUCUCAGAAUUUCCUUUCCCACCGGUCAGUAUUGGCCUUUUCUUCUCGAAUUUCAUGGCGCCAUUGUUUGGAAGACUUUCCUAACCCUGCGGUUCUCAUGGAUAGGCGCAGCUUCUUAUAGUCAGUCUUUAAGCUGUCUAGAUUCUCUUCGGCCUUAGUUUUUCUUUUUCUCCACUUCUCAGCCUCAGACCUCUAGACAUCAGCGUCUAACCGUAGUUGCAUCUUCUUCCCAAGCUCUGAACUCUUCUUCUCGAAGUCUUGUUUUAUAAUUUCCAAUUCUGAUGGGGCGACUUGUAAUUGUUCCCCGAUAGGUCGAGCAUUCUCUAAGCUUGGCCUAGGAAUAUUAUUAUUAAUCCUCUUCUUAAACCACUCGCUAUACUCGGGCGUUACCAUGGAACCGACGGCUAACCUCUUCAUCCAACAAGUUUGCUUCCAAGCAUCCGAUAACUCCCGAAAUCUCUUCUUAUAGUGAGCAUCUUUAAACGAGAAUUCACUCUGAGCAAGUCCAUAGGUCAUGGGUACAAACUACCUCGAUUUAUAUUGUCUCAAGGCUAGCAGUGGAGUAUACCCGAUAGCUCCCCAAAUUCCUAACAACGACACCCAAUCAAAGUUACUACAUCGGUACAUGAUCUCAUCAGGAACCAUCCAAUAAGCUCUCCACUUGAUAUCUCCCUCUUUGAGGUUCUGAAGAAUGUCCAUCCAUUUCUCCUCCGAGAUAUCCUCUCUCCUUUGUAUAACUGCCUCUUCUUUUAACGGGGAAUAACCUUCGGAAAAGACCCGAUAGGAAACCUUGUCUACCUUCCAAAAGUGCCCGUGAAACCAUGCCAUCAAUAAUUGUGCACAUCCAAUGAAUCGUCCCUCACCCGUCUUCUGACAUGAGCUCAAAGAUCUGAACGUUUCUGCCAAUAUCGUCGAUACCGGUGUGAUUCCCUUCUCAAGGCGAUCGAAUAAAUCAAUGACUACUUCGUCCACGUGCCUCAAAGCCUUGGGAAAAAUUACCAAUCUGUAGAUGCUUAAGGCGAAGAUGUCGAUCCUCUUUCUUUCGUCUGGAUGCGUCAAGAUCAAAUCUCGCAAAUUCUCCCAAGGGAUACAUUUGCUAUCUCCUUUUUGCUAAAUCCGAGCAGUGACCCAAGGCUCGUUCAUACCAAAAAUGUUCAUCAGUUUCUUCAAAAAAGUCUGACUACUAAAAACCCGGGCAUAAGUCUUCCGGACCUGAAUUUUUGGAUACUUGAGCAAAGUAGUGUAUUCCUCCAUGGUAGGUACCAAAUCCACUUUUCCAAAAGUGAAACACUUGUACGCAGAAUUCCAAAACUGCACCAAGGCUCGGAACAAAUGCUUAUCCACUCUAAUGUCUAGCAGGUAGGGUAUGUCACCAUAGCUUUGGUAAAACAACUGCUUAAUCAAGGCAUCCCAACUAGCCCAAAUAUCUCUCAACUCUUGCAACUCAUUCUGUACUACAUUGACACGAGUGAAAUCCUGCAGCUUCGAUACAUAUCCUUCUACCAAGCUAUCCCCUCUCUCUGAUUGUAGCCUCUUCGACCAUGCACGAACGACCACAUUAUCCUCGACUUUACUAAGAAAUUCAUUCUCUAUGUCAAACUUUCUAACUUAGUAAUUGAACACGGAUUAACACCUCCUUUAAUAUGCAAUGUCAUGCAAAAAGACAAUCAAAACAAAACACAGGUUAGUAUCAGGUAAUAUCGAUAAAAUGCAAGCACAUAAACGGUAAUCACAACGCAUAUACAGGUAAGUACUAAGGCUUGACGCGGCUCCACCCAAGGAUAACUCCUAACGUUCACUAUAUGUGGUUCGGUUCUAGAGAUAAAGUACUUGAACCAGCAGAUUCCUCAAUCCUCACCCAUUAUAGGCUCAUAUAGAUCGAGUUCGGUUCGGGGGAUACAUUUCCCAAUGACCAUGCGGAGAUGAAAAUCUCACGAAAUCAUAUGUACGGAUGUACCCCGGAAGCAAUCCACUAGCCCAUGCGGAGGUGAAAACCUCACGAAAGUGUAGUUUCUUACCCCACUUAGAAGGUGUGACUACAACGGUCAUGCAAUGAAAUGCAGUACUAUUCUACGAGAUUUGAACCAUAACAAUUAUACAAAUGAAUGCAAUUAUGAUUUUCAAAACAAGUUUUCGAUUUUUGACAGAAACACAACAAAUAAAUCGAUUUUAUGGCUCGACUCUCUAGUCCCCAGUGGAGUCGCCAAGCUGUCGAAACCAUCCUUUUUAUUUAAAAUUUUUAAAUUUAAUGAAAAUAUCGACUUUUGAAAAACAGAAAUAUGGAGUCGCUGUAAUAGCCCGAUUUUAGGCUUAGUCGGAACAGUGGUUUCGGGACCACAAAUCCGACGAAAAAAAAAAUGUAAUGGCUUGAAUUUUCAGAGGUGUCGGAACGGUGAUUCGAGAUCACUAAAUUCGACAAAUGGGUAGAAAAUAUUAUUAAUUUAGUAAGUAUAAGUUAAAUAUGAAGUUAGGAAAAUUUUUGAAAUAGUGAAUAGUGCACUAGAAAUAAAUAUUAAAAUAAUUAGAAUCGAAAUGAGGUAUCAAGACCUUGGGGAUUUUAAACUGAGCCAUAAAUAUUUUUAUAAAUAUUUAUGGAGUGUUAAAAAGUUAGUAUUAAAGUUUCGUUAAGAAAUUUUUAAGUUCCGAUAAUUAAUUGAACAAAAAGGACUAAAUUGUAACAAAUGCAAAAUUUUGGAAAAUGAUUAAAUAGCUUAAAUGAUAAAAGGAAGAGGGCUUAAAAAGCAAAUAGACCCAAGGUCUAUUUGGGCUGGACGGCAGAGGCAUGAAAUCAGCAAGAAAGUAAGGAGAAUUAAGGGCAAAAUUGGAAAAUUGCAAAAUUUGCUUAAUAAAGUUAGGACCCAAGUGGAAUUAUCUAGAUUUCUCUUCAUUUUUCUGAAUUCUUAUCAGCUAAAACACCAUGGAAGGGCUUCCUCAAGCUGGUUCUUCAUAUUUUUAUUACAAGUAAGUUCAAUUCUUGACUAUUUCUUGAAAUUUUUGUAUUUUUAUGACUUUUACAACUAGGCCCACUUGUUAAAUUCAUUAGUUUUUGAUUUUAUGAAAGAAGUUGAAAGUUGAUAUGAAUAUGUGCUGGAAGUAUAUGAUGAUUUAGCAUGAAAUUAGAGCUUUAAAUUGUUCAUAUGCUGAUUUUAUUGAAAGAAUUGAAUAGAAAGUGAAUGUUUGGGACCUAAUAGUAAAAGAGUUUGAAGAUAGAGUUAUAUGUGGAAAUUCUGAAUUUCAAUAGUUGUGUAACAACUUAUAAUGUCUAGUAAAGUACUAAUUGAGAAAAUUAGAUUAAUUGAGGGGUUAAUUGAGAAAGGACCGAAUUGUAUAAACUGUUAAAUUUGGGGCAAAAUGAAAAUCAACAUUUUGCACUAAAGCAGUUUUGGACAGCAGCAGUAGUGUAACUUUGAAAAAUCACCCAAAAUUGUAGAGAUUGAAUUAGAGGAUGAAUAAAAUAUGAAAUUAAAGCUUAUUGAGUCUAGUUUCUUAUAAAAGAAAUGAUGUGAGCAAUGGAAUUGUAAAUCAUGAGAUAUAAUAGAUUUUGUGAGACAAGGUCAGAAUGAAUUCGGGUUCCCCUGUUCUGACUUUGGAAAAUCAUUAAAAAUUGUACAGAAAUUAUUAUGAGUUAUAGUUUAUAUGGUUAGAAUCCUUAAUGAGUCUAUUUUUAGAAGAAACAAGCUAAAACAUCAUCCGAAUUCUGUACAAUGAGAUAAUUAAUUUUUAGUGAAGAGUGGUCGGAACUGUCAGACAGCGAAACAGGGGAAAAUUUAAAGAAUAAACUGUACUAUUUGGCUGAACCAAAAAUUAUGAAAAUUUUAUGGUAUGAAGAUAUGAGUCUAGUUUCAGGGAAAAUUAACGGAUCUUAAUUUGGAGCUCUGUAGCUCCGGAUAAAAAUAAUUUAGUGACUCUGACUCGGAUAAACAGCUUUGAAUAUACAUGUUAGUGAAUAUUGAAAUUAUGGUUAAUGUUGUUUAAGUGUGUUAUACACAUUAAGGAUGUGGAAUGGAGAGGAGGAGGAGGAAAAUUGGGAAAUAUAUGAAUGAUUCGUGUAUAAAUGGUCAUAUGUUUGAUUAUAACUCAUAAACGAUGAAAUAUGAAUGAUGCUUAUUUUUGUGCAUUAUUGGUCAUGGUUUAAGCUCAUGUGUGAAAAUAAAGUUUCAUAGUAUGUGUGUAUGGUAUAUUCAGUAUAUGAUUUGCCAUGAAAUAAUACCAUGAAUGGUUUAUGAAUUAACACAUGUUGGUAAGCCUGAUAUAUGAAUAAAUGAUCAAAUUGAGCGGAACGCCGGAUUUGAGUACUUCUGAUCAAGUGAUAAAGUGAUAAGUGGUAGCUUUAGCUACACUUAUCUGAUCAAGUGACAAGUGGAAAGUGAUAAGUAAUAGCUUCGGCUAUACUUAUCUGAUCAAGUGAUAAAGUGAUAAGUGAUAGCUUCGGCUAUACUUAUCUGAUCAAGUGACAAAAUGAUAAGUGAUAGCUUCAGCUACACUUAUCUGAUCAAGUGACAAGUGGAAAGUGAUAAGUGAUAGCUUCGGCUACACUUAUCUGAUCAAGUGACAAGUGAAAAGUGAUAAGUGAUAGCUUCGGCUAUACUUAUCUGAUCAAGAGACAAAGUGAUAAGUGAUAGCUUUAGCUACACUUAUCUGAUCAAGAGACAAAGUGAUAAGUGGCUACACUUAUCUGAUCAAGAAACAAAGUGAUAAGUGGCUACACUUAUCUGAUCAGGGACAAGUGAUAAGUGAUCAUACGUAAGACCAUAGUUAUACUAUGGCAAAGUGAAAGUGAAGUACUCAAUUUUCCGUGACCGUUCCCUAAUUUGAUAAAAGAUGGUAAGUGACAAAUGGGCCCAAAAGAAUUAAAGUAAAUGGAUAAGUGGUAGUGUAUUUAUAUCAGGACGAUGUUGUUAUUCAAACUAAAGUGAUAUUUUCAUUGCUAAAUUGAGAAUUUCAUAAAUGUGUUAUUGAAUGGUAUAAUCAAUAAACAUUGAGUUAAAUGGUAAAUACAUAUUAGUUUUGAAUUUGAUGUCAUUGAAUUGUACGUGAAUUAAAUGGAAAUUUCUAGUGAUAUGAUUUAAAUUAUGAGCAUGAGAAAUUGCGAAUUGAAUGAAAUGGAAAUGAAGCAUUAAAUUGCAUGAGUAUGUAUCGGGUCUCGCAGACCCUAAUUAUUAUGAUUAUAAUAUUUUAAGGAUAUAUUGUGAAAAGUUAUAGAAACAUGUUAAUUAUUUUUGAAAGUUUUAAUUUUGAUGAAAUUUUAUAACUCGGUUAAAUACGUUUACAAGUGUAUGUGUUUUGGUAAUGCCUCGUACCCUAUUCCGGUGUUGGAUACGGGUAAGGGGUGUUACAGUCGCCACCGAUCCUUUUGUUUUGGUGUGAUCGGGUCACCUAAGAAUUUGGUUAUUUUAAUAAAACAUUUGUGAUCUACUAAAACAACAACUCUGGUCUACGAAAAAUUUAGAAAACGGGCUCGGGAGUCGGUUACGCAUGAGGAAGGAUUAGCACCCUUACUACGCCCAAAAUUGGUACCAAAUCGAUUAAAUACUGUUCUUAUGUCUAAAAUUAAAAAUGUUUUUGAAAUGUGGUUUUUUUAUAACAGUUGAAUAACCCGAGUUGAUUGUCAAAAAUCUUCUUGUUCGACGUUCGAAAAUUUAUAAUUUGAAAAUCACGAAGGGAUGCUCAACUAUUUAGUCCAACGAAAAAUCGAAACCCAGCACAGUAGGGCACGAUUAUUCGAAUUCCCAAACAUCGAUCAUUACCUCACUUUGGGAAAAUACAAGUGAAAUUCCGGAGAGAUAUUCGGUUAUUUUGGACAGACGGGAGAUUGCAACCCCGCACGAUAGGGCACUAUUCCCCGAACUGCCAAACAUCGAACACUUCUUUCGUUUAAAAGGGUUUUUAGAAAACGUGAAUGAAACUUCGAAGGGAUCUUCGAUUGUAUAGGGCGAAUGAAAAAGCGCAACCCAGCACGAUAUGGCACAAUUCUCAAAUCGCCAAACAUCGAACAUCAUUUGUUUUGAAAGGUUUUUAAUAAACAUGAGUGAAAACCUAAAGGAAUAUUCGAUUGUUUUGAGCAAACGAGAAAUCACAACCCAGCACUAUAGGGCAUGAUUCCCGAAUUGUCAAUCACCGAAUAUUGCCUUCGUUUUAAAUGAUUUUUAGAAGACAUGCGUGAAAUUUUGGAGGGAUAUUUGAUUAUUUUAAGCAAACGAGAAAUUGCAACCCAGCCCGUUAGGGCACGAUUCCAUGAAUUGCCAAAUAUCGCACAUCGCCUCCAUUUUAAAGAAUUUUUAAAAGGCAUGAGUGAAAUUUUGAAGGGAUAUUCGAUUAUUUUGAGCAAAUGCGAAAUUGUAACCCAACACGUUAGGGCACUAUUCCGCGAAUUGCCAAAUGUCGAAUCUCGACUUCGUUUUAAAGAAUUUUUAAGUGAAUACUUAUAAACUAGCUUAAAACGUAUUAAUGCAUUUUUUAAAAUGAAACGAAAUUAAUCAUAAAAUUUGGAUUUUAUAAAACCACAUUUCGAAAAUCAAAAGGAAAACAAUGAAUGGGGUAAUAUGUACAUAUAAAAUACGAAAAUAGAAGAGUGGAGGUAAUACGAUUUAUUUGACCAACUAACAAACACUUACAACUAAGCACAAUUAGCUUGGAAAUAUAGCUCAAUCUCAACAUGCAUGGAGAAUAAUUAACAUGGCAAUAUAAAAUAAUGAACAAAUAAAUAAUGCAAUGAUAACAUGCAUGGGAAAUAAUUUAUAUACAAUACAAUAAAGAAAAUAAUACUACAACAAUACAACACCACAAAACAAUACAUAAAAAUGUGCCAAAAUGACGUGCAUAACAUGAUAUAAAAUAAUUAACGCAAGAUGUAAAAAGAGGAACAACAUAACAAUUAGAAGCCAAUGUGGUAUAAAAUAAUUUUAAAAUAGUGAUGAAUAAAUGAACACAUAAUAUAUAGGUUGACCAAUUUGCAUAAAAAGUAAGGAUAUAUAAUUAUUGAAAUAGAUAUUAUAGAGUGGAAAUUUGAAUCAAAUUGCAUGUAAAAUGUUUUAGACACAAAUACAUUUAAAAAUCGACAACGUACAUGAUAAUAAUGUAUAUAAUAUGAAAAAAUAAUAAAGAUAUAUGACAAGUUAUAAUACACUAAAUAGAUUUAUAAAACAUAUAUACAUAAAUGACUUUUUAAAAAUAAUUAUUUGUAAAAACAUAGAAAUACCUACAAGCUUAAAUUAAUUUUAUAACAAGUCGUAUAAUGGACUUAAGAACAUGCUUAUAUAUAUAUAUAUAAAGAAGACUAUAUGUAUGAAACACAUGGAUUUAAUAAUAUAUAGAUCAAAUGUAGGUAUCAAUAAAUAUACAUAUAUAAAUAAUGAUUACUUAGAAGAUAUAUUACGUAGGACUAUAUAAUGAAAUACAAGAAAAAAUUUGAGAAAUCAUAUGUAUAAAAUAAUAUAGGGUUAAUAAUAUAUAUACGAAAUAAGUUAACUUUAAUAUAUAUAAAAAAAUAUGCUCAUAUGUACAAAGUAUGUUUUUUUUAGGAGUAUCUAGUUAAAAAUGACCAUAUACAUAUAAAAAAGAAAAAUAAUUUAAAUGACAUAUGCACCAUAUAUAUAUAUAAAAGGAUUGAAUAUGAGGAUAAAAUAUAAAUAUGUAUAUAAAAAUAUAUGAAAACUUUUUUUUUAAAAGAAUGAUAAAAUGAUUUUAAGGAUACAUCAAGUUUUAAAAUGAAAAAUAUGUAACAACACAAAACAAAUAGUACAUAUCUAAAAUAAAUAAUAUAUGAAAACCUUAGAUUAAUAAUAAAAUAAUUUAAAAAUGAAGAAUACGACAAAUUUUAAAUUAAUAUGGAAAAAUGGCUAGAACUUAAACAUGUAUAUAUGGUGAAAGACAAUUUAAAUAUUAUGUAAAACGUGAAAGGUUCUAAAUAUAUAUAUAAUAAGAUGUGUUCUUGAGAAUAAAUUAUAUACAUGAUGGGCUAAAAAAAUACGACCACAAAUAUACAAGUAGGUUUAAAAGGAAUUAUGUAUGUAAAAGUAACGUAGAAUUAAUAAUAUAUAGAAUAUAAAAAAAAAACUAGUCUUGCCAUGAACUAUAUAUGCACAAUAUUAUAUGAAUAAAACAAAGUAAUAUAUAAAUUUUUUUUAAAACAAUAUGAUAAAAGAAAACUUUAAAAUAAAGACUUUAUAAAAUCAGGAGCUAAUAUUAUCAUGUUAAUUCAAAAAAAGUAUGUAUAUACAUGUAUAGAAAGUAUUAAGUUGAUAAAAAAAAUGAUAGACCAUGUAAAUCAAAUGGACUCAAUUAAAAUACAAUUAAAAUGAAUGGGCUAAUUUAUAAAUAAAAUAAUCAAAAGAGGGCCAAGGUGUGAUGCGCGUCAAUGUAAAAGGACUAGAACUAGAAAUAACCUAAGUUCUAAAACGCAGAGCAGAGAUACGGACCAAAGCGCAAACAUGCUCAAAUUACAGGGCUAAUUUUAAAACACAAGGUAGGCAAAUUGGACGCAAAUUGAAGGCUGUGCGCAAGAGGAAGGACUUAUUUCCUAAAUAGACCAUUUUAGGCGCAAAAGGCUCCCCCACCGUUCUUACACGGUACCGUUUUGCUUAAUAUUUGAAACUUAAAGCCGUUGAAUGGCAGCUUACUAUUCCCCUUUUUUUUCGCCAUAAGCAGCAGACCCAAUUCUUAGAGUUUCAACACAGCAAAUUUUUGGGUUUUCCCAUCCCCCCAUUUGACCAUUCGACUGCCCCAUUCUACCAUUGAAAUUGAUGGACGGUGGCUCCCCAUGGAGUGGUUUCAUUCUCCUACUCUAAGCCUCACCUCGAAAGGUAAGAUUUUUAGCCCGAAAACCCAUCUCAAGCUUCGAUUUCGACGAAGAAGAGAUGGUCCCCGAUGGCUCGUUUGAAGGUAUGCUUCCUUUUUUAUUAUAUUAUGCAGAAAACAUAUGAAACAUGAAAGGAAGAUGAAAUAGAUGCGGAAAAAAAAGAAGAAGCACAAGGCGUUCGAAAAAAAAAUCACCUUCUAGUUCUAUUCUGAUUUCUCUCUAUUGCGGAUUGCGUAAAUGUCUGUUUUUUUGUGUAACCGAUUACAAGGAUUAAAAUUUCGGCUUUAUAGGCGAAGAAAAAAAAGAAAAAAUAAAAAAUACAAUAUUUCUCUUUUGUUUGCAUUCGCUGCUGUUCUGCCUCGUUUGUUUGCAGGUACGGAGGUAUGGAGCCAGCUGUGGGGAUAUGUGGCACUCGACGUAGGGCGUACGGAGGCGUUGAAGGCGGUCGUAUGGCGCGAGGGCUGGGGCUCGUCUGCAGUUGCGGCGCAAAUGUGAGGAGAAAACCCUAGGGUUUCUUUGUUUAGGCAUUUGGGCUUAUUGGGCCUAUUUUUGGAUCAGGUCUAGGUUUAGUCAUUGGGCUUGUGACUUGGGUCUUGAGUUUUAAUUUUGGGUUUAAGGUCAUGUAUUAAUUUUAGAUUUGGACUGUAAAAAGGAUUUUUAAUUAAUAGACUGUUUCAUUUAUUGUAUUUUUUUGUGUUUUGGUUUCUUUUUCGGGCCGGACAAAUUAGCCUAUUUACAUCAACCAUUAAAUUUUAUGAAGUAAUUGAUUAAAUAAUUGGUUAAAAUGAAUAUUGUUUGUGAUUUGCUUAGCAAUUCA